UGAGGAAUAUUGGACAAUGGGCGCAAGCCUGAUCCAGCCAUGCCGCGUGCAGGAAGAAGCAUCUAUGGUGUGUAAACUGCUUUUGUACGGGAAGAAACACUCCUACGUGUAGGAGCUUGACGGUACCGUAAGAAUAAGGAUCGGCUAACUCCGUGCCAGCAGCCGCGGUAAUACGGAGGAUCCAAGCGUUAUCCGGAAUCAUUGGGUUUAAAGGGUCCGUAGGCGGUUUAGUAAGUCAGUGGUGAAAGCCCAUCGCUCAACGAUGGAACGGCCAUUGAUACUGCUAGACUUGAAUUACAAGGAAGUAACUAGAAUAUGUAGUGUAGCGGUGAAAUGCUUAGAUAUUACAUGGAAUACCAAUUGCGAAGGCAGGUUACUACUUGUGGAUUGACGCUGAUGGACAAAAGCGUGGGGAGCGAACA
RNAcentral lists this ribosomal RNA (422 nucleotides) under uncultured bacterium. RNAcentral describes it as "bacterial SSU rRNA". It matches the Rfam family "Bacterial small subunit ribosomal RNA", at positions 355 to 774 of the family's 1533-position model. The record is from RNAcentral.